Molecule: non-coding RNA, 1528 nt
Organism: Arachis ipaensis
Lineage: Eukaryota; Viridiplantae; Streptophyta; Magnoliopsida; Fabales; Fabaceae
Source: RefSeq, a predicted model, not a curated record
UUGUUGAUUUCAUAUCUAUCAAUUUAGAAUUUUUUAUAUAAAAUUUUGAUUUUUGGUUAAGAAAAGGUAUAUAAAAUUAAUUAUAUAUCUGAUAAAAUUUACGGUAUUUUUUUAAAAGAAAAACCAAUUGGGUGUUCAUUAUGUGAAUGCAAAUUAAAAUUUCAAAGACCUAUAAUUCGUUUAUCUAUUUUUAUAAUAAUUUGGUCAAAGUUAUUCUAUAAAAUAGAUAGCAAAAAUAAAAAUACGCCAAGCAGAUUGUUAUGAUUUUUAUUGAACAUUACAAUUCUUUUUCAAAAAUCAAUUGAGUAUUCCAAAAUUUAUUUAGUGUUUUUAUGCUUAAAACAUUCUUUGAAAUAUUUAUAAAUUUUACAUUUUUAGCAAACAAGAAGAGAACAAGUAGAAGUUUUUUAAAAUAAUUGAAUACAUUAAAAUCAUAUUCAUCAAAGAAGGAGAUAUUAUUUUUGGUGUUUUAAACUUGAGAAUAUGCAUAAACUAAUAAGUUUUUAACAUUAACAUUACUUUUUGUUAUUGCUGCAAUAUAUGUCUAGACUCCUGGAGUUCUAGACAGUUUACAAUUGGCAAAGGUGGUUGAAAUGGAUUAGCAUGGUAUGUUGUUGAAACUAGAAAAGUUAACAUUGUUAAGUAUGAGCUGGAGAAGGUAAGUUGACUUUUAAAGGUGUGGUUCACAUAUUUCAUUUCAGAAAACGUAUCAAUUUCAUUGGCUUUUAUAUUUUUUAAAAUUCAUUUUUAAUGUCAUAUAGGUAUUCUGUUUAGAUAGAGGGAGACUAUGAAAAAUAUCAUCAACAAGCAUUGAAUUUUUAUCUCUUAGUGACAUAAUGGUGGUCAUUUGUUACAAAUGAAUGUGCCUUCAAGAAUUAGCAGGGAGUGUUCUAACACCAAUGACAUCUCUUGAGGCUUGGCAAGGGUUGGUUAUUGUUGUUGGAACUGCAGUUGAAUUGCUUGAAAUUGCUGAAAAGUAAGAACAUCUCUCAUCUGCAAAAGCCACCCCACCAAUUUUUACAUUGUGAAAAGAUUUAUUUGUUUAGGCAGAGAAGAAAGACUAUCUGAGGAUCUUGGAGCCGAUGUUGUCGUCAAUUAUAAGACAGAAGAUUCUGUUGCACGAUUAAAAGAAGAAACAAGAGCGAAAGCCUGCAGGUGUUGAUGUCAUUAUAGAUCAAAUUGUGGGAUUGUACCUUCAGCGAAACCUAAACAGUAUGAUCACAAUCUCCCUCACAACUCAAAGUUGGCAAAUAUUUUCAUUGAUUUAUUAAUAUUAUAUUAGGAAAGAUACACAAUCCCCUCAUAAAGGUUUGGUUGUGCUUUGGCUUUCUUUUCUUUAAAAAGGUUUGGUUGUUGCUUUGACUUUCUUUAACAAUAUAUGUGUGCAACAAUGUUAUGACUAUACGUGAUUGCUUUGUGAUAAUUUAUUUGCUCAUAAGAAGUUUGUAUCUUGCAUUUCUCAUCGAACAAAUACGGAAAAAGAAUCAUAUUGAAAAACGUUUGUCUGAAGAGCUCACUGAAAUAAGGU